This 253-nucleotide ribosomal RNA is filed under the name uncultured bacterium. RNAcentral describes it as "partial 16S ribosomal RNA". It matches the Rfam family "Bacterial small subunit ribosomal RNA", at positions 524 to 776 of the family's 1533-position model. The record is from RNAcentral.
UACAGAGGCCACAAGCGUUAAUCGGAAUCACUGGGCUUAAAGGGUGCGUAGGCGGUCCCGCAAGUGCUUUGUGAAAUCCCAUCGCUCAACGAUGGAAUGGCUCGGCAUACUGCGGGACUUGAGGUCGGUAGAGGUCGUCGGAACAGUAGGUGGAGCGGUGAAAUGCGUAGAUAUCUACGGGAACGCCAAAGGUGAAGACAGGCGACUGGGCCGAUGCUGACGCUGAGGCACGAAAGAGUGGGGAGCGAACGGG